UAAGGGCUUGUGGCGCUGACACAGACUUCUGCCAACUUCAUCAGCUGCAUUCCCAAGAGAUACAAGGUCGUAGCUACAGCAGUCUGCUCCAAACACCCAGUAAAGAUUUGGUCCUUCACAGAGAAAAACAACAGCUGCCAUUUACAAGUAACGGCUUGCAUUCGAGGAACUUGGACAUCCACCGAGUGACCACAUUGACCCAGUUGCUGGUGCACUUCUGAGUUCAAAACAACCGCGGAGCAUCUGGACCGCUCUUAGUGCUUCCUCCUGGCAGGAGGAAUGGAAAUCUGACAAGUCCCCAUGGAUCUGAGACUUGGGACAAAUGGUAUCAGCUCCAGGGGCUGAACUCAAAGCACACCCAGCAGUACCAGUGCUACGAGCUGUGGCUUUUAGGAGAAAGUUGGUGGUAACGA
RNAcentral lists this long non-coding RNA (413 nucleotides) under Anser brachyrhynchus (Pink-footed goose). RNAcentral describes it as "lncRNA (ENSABRG00000015275.1)". Lineage: Eukaryota; Metazoa; Chordata; Aves; Anseriformes; Anatidae. The record is from RNAcentral.